This 760-nucleotide ribosomal RNA is filed under the name Lactobacillus gasseri. Its description in RNAcentral is "bacterial SSU rRNA". It matches the Rfam family "Bacterial small subunit ribosomal RNA", at positions 41 to 760 of the family's 1533-position model. Lineage: Bacteria; Bacillati; Bacillota; Bacilli; Lactobacillales; Lactobacillaceae. The record is from RNAcentral.
GGCGUGCCUAAUACAUGCAAGUCGAGCGAGCUUGCCUAGAUGAAUUUGGUGCUUGCACCAAAUUGAAACUAGAUACAAGCGAGCGGCGGACGGGUGAGUAACACGUGGGUAACCUGCCCAAGAGACUGGGAUAACACCUGGAAACAGAUGCUAAUACCGGAUAACAACACUAGACGCAUGUCUAGAGUUUAAAAGAUGGUUCUGCUAUCACUCUUGGAUGGACCUGCGGUGCAUUAGCUAGUUGGUAAGGUAACGGCUUACCAAGGCAAUGAUGCAUAGCCGAGUUGAGAGACUGAUCGGCCACAUUGGGACUGAGACACGGCCCAAACUCCUACGGGAGGCAGCAGUAGGGAAUCUUCCACAAUGGACGCAAGUCUGAUGGAGCAACGCCGCGUGAGUGAAGAAGGGUUUCGGCUCGUAAAGCUCUGUUGGUAGUGAAGAAAGAUAGAGGUAGUAACUGGCCUUUAUUUGACGGUAAUUACUUAGAAAGUCACGGCUAACUACGUGCCAGCAGCCGCGGUAAUACGUAGGUGGCAAGCGUUGUCCGGAUUUAUUGGGCGUAAAGCGAGUGCAGGCGGUUCAAUAAGUCUGAUGUGAAAGCCUUCGGCUCAACCGGAGAAUUGCAUCAGAAACUGUUGAACUUGAGUGCAGAAGAGGAGAGUGGAACUCCAUGUGUAGCGGUGGAAUGCGUAGAUAUAUGGAAGAACACCAGUGGCGAAGGCGGCUCUCUGGUCUGCAACUGACGCUGAGGCUCGAAAGC